GACAGAGGGGGCGAGCGUUGUCCGGAGUCACUGGGCGUAAAGCGCGCGCAGGCGGUCGCCAAAGUGUCGUGUGAAAGCCCCCGGCUCAACCGGGGGAGGCCAUGGCAAACUCGGCGACUGGAGCGGCGGAGAGGCCCCUCGAAUUGCCGGUGUAGCGGUGAAAUGCGUAGAGAUCGGCAGGAAGACCAAGGGGGAAGCCAGGGGCUGGCCGCUGGUUGACGCUGAGGCGCGAAAGCGUGGGGAGCGAACCGG
RNAcentral lists this ribosomal RNA (252 nucleotides) under uncultured bacterium. Its description in RNAcentral is "partial 16S ribosomal RNA". It matches the Rfam family "Bacterial small subunit ribosomal RNA", at positions 524 to 776 of the family's 1533-position model. The record is from RNAcentral.